Panicum virgatum (switchgrass) is the source of this 1163-nucleotide long non-coding RNA. RefSeq lists it as uncharacterized. The transcript has 2 exons. The record is from RefSeq and is a predicted model, not a curated record. Lineage: Eukaryota; Viridiplantae; Streptophyta; Magnoliopsida; Poales; Poaceae.
GGCCCAGUACACACAUUCUCGGCCAGGUUCCGGAUCCCGAAGCCCCUGCCCGUGCUCGCCGGUCGCCGCCACCGCCGCAUCGCCGGCCGGAUGGUGGGUCGGCCUGUACCCCCAGCCGCUUGCCCGCUUCCCCCUCCUCUUCCAGCUCCCUCUAUCUGCCGGCCUCCUCUUUCCUGGCAUUGGUGGCGAAGGUCGCCACAGGCACAUGCGAUGCGUCGGCGCCUUCACUGUUCGUUUUCACGGCGGCGUGGGCGAGGCAGGCGAGGCACCAUGGCCGUGCGCCUGCGGUGGGUUGGAUGUGGCUGGAUGGCGCCGGCUGAAUUCCUUGGCCUCUGACGGCUGCGGCAGGGGAGGUUGCGGAGGCCGGCAGCAGCGGCACUCCUGUAUUUCUUUAUUUCUUCUGAAGUUAAGAUGAGACAACUCAACAAUGGAUCCGUUUGGAAGAGAGGUGAGAGUGACCAUACAUUUAAUCUGAAACAGGGAUAAAAUAGCAGCAGCAACUGGUUGGUUACUGCUAUUAGGUAUUUUUCCCCUUUUAUUUGGCAGGUAUGUCUUGUUUAGUUGGUACCGGUAGCAUUGUAUUGUAGCUACAGUAGUGGCAUGUUUUUGAGCCAUUAUUUUUAUUAAUUUACAUAGUGAGUGAAAAUUCUUAGAGAUGUGUUGACACCGGAUUUUGACAAAUCCGAUGUACUCUGAAUUAUGGAACAGUCAGCUCUUUGGGUCAAUGUGUAAGCCGACAGACAACAGCAGUUGCCGAUGAAGCCGGAAGCCUGGUAGCUGGGGAUUCACGCGUAAAAACAAUUGAAGCAAAAGGUUAACAAGGGUUCACGUGCGGACAGCAGCAUGAGAAUUAUUUGGAUUAAUCUGGCCGAAUAAUCAAUGUGAUUAGCAUGCAGAUCAAAGCUAAGGAAGCUUCAUGUACGGGGGAGGCUGGAGGAUUAAAGGAAGGAAAUUACCUGCGUACAAGCAAGGGGCAAAGCUAUGGCUGAUUUCCAUAAUUAAAUAUAUAGGGGAGAUAAUUACCUGCCAAGUGCGCGUGGGGGCAAAAUAAAAGAGUAUGAAAGCCAGUGUCUAUACGGCGUAUGCGAGGGCCCGGGAAGGACGGAUGGGCAGGAGACUUUGUUAGCAAGGAUUCUAGAGAAAGGGAAAAUAGAGUCCGUGUA